This 442-nucleotide ribosomal RNA is filed under the name Vibrio harveyi. Its description in RNAcentral is "bacterial SSU rRNA". It matches the Rfam family "Bacterial small subunit ribosomal RNA", at positions 77 to 518 of the family's 1533-position model. The record is from RNAcentral. Lineage: Bacteria; Pseudomonadati; Pseudomonadota; Gammaproteobacteria; Vibrionales; Vibrionaceae.
CGAUAACGGCGUCGAGCGGCGGACGGGUGAGUAAUGCCUAGGAAAUUGCCCUGGUGUGGGGGAUAACCAUUGGAAACGAUGGCUAAUACCGCAUAAUACCUACGGGUCAAAGAGGGGGACCUUCGGGCCUCUCGCGUCAGGAUAUGCCUAGGUGGGAUUAGCUAGUUGGUGAGGUAAUGGCUCACCAAGGCGACGAUCCCUAGCUGGUCUGAGAGGAUGAUCAGCCACACUGGAACUGAGACACGGUCCAGACUCCUACGGGAGGCAGCAGUGGGGAAUAUUGCACAAUGGGCGCAAGCCUGAUGCAGCCAUGCCGCGUGUGUGAAGAAGGCCUUCGGGUUGUAAAGCACUUUCAGUCGUGAGGAAGGUGGUGGUGUUAAUAGCUGUAUCAUUUGACGUUAGCGACAGAAGAAGCACCGGCUAACUCCGUGCCAGCAGCCGC